CGACCGGCGCACGGGUGAGUAACACGUAUCCAACCUGCCGAUGACUCGGGGAUAGCCUUUCGAAAGAAAGAUUAAUACCCGAUGGCAUAGUUCUUCCGCAUGGUAGAACUAUUAAAGAAUUUCGGUCAUCGAUGGGGAUGCGUUCCAUUAGCUUGUUGGCGGGGUAACGGCCCACCAAGGCAUCGAUGCGUAGGGGUUCUGAGAGGAAGGUCCCCCACACUGGUACUGAGACACGGACCAGACUCCUACGGGAGGCAGCAG
This 261-nucleotide ribosomal RNA is filed under the name uncultured bacterium. Its description in RNAcentral is "partial 16S ribosomal RNA". It matches the Rfam family "Bacterial small subunit ribosomal RNA", at positions 92 to 354 of the family's 1533-position model. The record is from RNAcentral.